Molecule: ribosomal RNA, 1290 nt
Filed under: Hydrophilidae sp. BMNH 1274343
Lineage: Eukaryota; Metazoa; Arthropoda; Insecta; Coleoptera; Hydrophilidae
Description: 16S ribosomal RNA
Rfam family: Archaeal large subunit ribosomal RNA (bases 1050-1208)
Source: RNAcentral
UCAAUUUAUUUUGAAUUUAAAUUGUUAUUUUUAUUAAAUUAGGAAAAAUAUUUUUUUAGUUUUAUUAUUAUAAGAGAAUAAAUUAUUAUUAUUAUAGUGAAUUAGUAUAGUGAUUGAAAUUAUUGAAAUGUAAAAAAGAAUAGUUUACUUUUAGUACCUUGUGUAUCAGGGUUAAUUAAUAAAAAAUAAUGAAUUUUAUUAUCUCGAAAGAAUUAAGAGCUAAUUUUAUAUAAAUAUUACUGUUGAAUUAUUAUUUUAAAUAUAUUAUUAGUAAUGAAAUGUUAUUCGUUUUUUUUGAUAUCUAGUUAUUUAAGAAAUAUAUUUAAUAUAGUAUUUAUUUGUAAAUAUAAUAAUUGAAAAUGUUAUUUAAUAAAUAAAUAGUUAUAUUUUAAGGGUUGAGCUUUAAAUUAUAUUUUUAUAAAUGAAUAUAUAAAUUAAAAUUAAAUAGAAUUAGAAAUUUUUAUUUUUUUUAGUAUGUUAUUAUUAUGUUUUAUUUUAAUUUUAUUUAUAUUAAUUUUAAGUUAUUUAUUAAAUAGUAUUAUUUAAUUUUUUUAUAAUAGUUAUAAUGAUUAAAUUAGUAUUAAUUUUUGUUUUUAUAAUUUAUAUUUGUAAGGUUUAGGUAAGGAAUUCGGCAAAUAUUUUUUUCACCUGUUUAUUAAAAACAUGUCCUUUUGAGAAUGAUUUAAGGUCUAACCUGCUCAAUGAUUAAUUAAAUAGCUGCAGUAUUUUGACUGUACAAAGGUAGCAUAAUCAUUAGUUUUUUAAUUGAAAGCUUGUAUGAAUGGUUGCAUGAGAAAAAAUCUGUCUAUUUAAAAUUUUAAAGAAUUUUAUUUUUAAGUUAAAAAGCUUAAAUUUAGUUAAAAGACGAGAAGACCCUGUAGAGUUUAAUUAAUUAUAUAUUUAUUUUUUUUUAGAAAUUUAUUUAAAUAAUUUUAUUAAUUAAUUUGAUUGGGGUGAUCUUAAAAUUUAAAUAACUUUUAUAAUUUAAAAACAUUAAUUUAUGAAUUUUUGAUCCAUAUUUUAUGAUUAAUAGAUUAAAUUACCUUAGGGAUAACAGCGUAAUUUUUUUGGAGAGUUCUUAUCAAUAAAAAAGAUUGCGACCUCGAUGUUGGAUUAAAAUUAACUAUUGGCGCAGAAGUUAAUUAGUUGGGUCUGUUCGACCUUUAAAAUUUUACAUGAUCUGAGUUUAAACCGGUGUGAGCCAGGUUGGUUUCUAUCUUUAAUUUAUUAUUAUAUGUUAGUACGAAAGGGCCGCAUAUUUACAAUAAUUGUUAAUUUAUGAUUAAUAUU